AUGAUGCUGAUUCAAAAAAAAAUAUCAGCAAAAACUAUGCAAAAUUAUGAAAAAGUAAAAUCGGAUAUAAUAGAAGCAGAGAAAAUAGCUAAAAAGGCAUAUGAUGAUGCAUAUGAAAUUAGAAACAUAGUACAAAAUAAUGCUAAAGAAAAAGUGAAUCUUGUUUACCAACAUACGUUAGUGGCAAAAAAGGCCGAAAAUGACGCUAUAUUAGCAGUGGGUGCUAUUAAAGUUGAAACGAAACCGGCAGAAGCAUAUAAACAUGUAAAAAAAGUUGAGGAAGCCGCCAAGAUUGCUGAUGCAGCUGCAAAGGAAGCAGAACAGAAUGCGAAUAGUGCAGAAAUAGAUGCUUAUGAUUCAAACAGCGAAAAAGCAACAGAAGAUGCAUUAACAGCAAGAAAUCAUGCAUCAGAAGCUAAAAAAGCAGCAGAAAAUGCAAAUGAAUUAGUUAACAUUGCAAAAAGUGUGGCAAAUAAUAUAAAAUUAAAAGCAAUUCAAAAAGUUAAACAAGUUGUAGAAAAAUCAGAUGAACAUAAUAAAAAAGCAUUAGAAGCUAUUGAAAAAGUUAUAGCUGCAUACGAACGAGCAAAUAUACCUAUAGCAGUAUAUAAUAUUAAAAUUGUAAUGGAAGCAGUGACGGAAGCAACUAAAGCAUAUAAAAUGGCAUCGGAAGAAUUCAUGGACGCACUUAAAGAGAAAGAUAAUAUUAAAACUUUAAAGGAUAUAUCUAACGAUGAAGAAUCAACAAAAAUUGCUGAUAAAGCAUUAAAUAACUUUGAAGAAGUUAAUUAUAAACUAAAAAAUGCAGAAGACGCAGUGAAAAAGAUGAAUAAUAUUGUGGACAAUUUUAAAAAUAAAGCAACCGAUAAAGCUAUAGAGUUUGCGAAUAAUGUUAAAAUUUAUGCAAACGUGGUAAAAGAAGCCGAAAUUUCAUCUAUAAAUGCAUUGAAUAAUGCUAGCAAAACAAAAAAAGUUAAUAUAGCAUUAAAAGCUGCUACAGAUGCUACAUAUGCUGCUACUGAAGCGAUCGAUGCUGCAAAGAAUGCAUCUGAUUAUGCAAAAUUAUCUAAAUUAGAAGCUAACAAAACAAAGCGUGCUUUAGCAAUGAAAAAUACUUUGGAAGCUAGAGAAAUAGCAGAAAAAUCUAAUGUAUUAGCACUAAAUGCAAAAAAAAAUGCGGAAAUGGCAAAAAAAAUAGCGGAAAAUGUUAAGUUAGAAGCUUUUAAUAAUGUAAAAUCAGCUGUAAAUCAAGCUAAAGAAUAUGAAAAAAUAGCAAUGGAUGCUGUACAUAAUGUUAUGACAAUAUGUGCUAAUGCAUUAAACGAUCAAGAAAGAAACUCUGUUACAAAAGCUAUGGAAGUAGAAGCUGAAGCAACUAAAACAUAUAAAAUUGCAUUAAAAGCAGCUAAUAAUGCAAAUGAAUCAGCAAACGAAGCUAAAAAAUUAUCAGAAAUAUAUGAAGAUACAACAUCAACAGAAAUGGCAAAUACGUCUUUGGAAAGCACUAAAAAACUUAUGAUGGAAAUAGUAAAGGCAGAAAAAGCAGUUAAAGAAGCAAACAAAAAUGUAGACGAAUUGAAAAAUGAGGCAGUUGCUAGGGUGGCACAACAUUUGGCUAAAACUAAGGAGUUUGCGAAAAUAGCAGAAGAAGCAAAAAUUGAACUAAUGAACGCAUUGAAUGGGUUAAAAACGACAACAAAAUCUGAAAUUACAUUGAAAACAACAAAAGAUUGUAAAAAUGUUUCUAAAAAAGCUAUUACAGCUGCAAAAAAAUGCAUUUGA
Molecule: long non-coding RNA, 1782 nt
Organism: Piliocolobus tephrosceles (Ugandan red Colobus)
Lineage: Eukaryota; Metazoa; Chordata; Mammalia; Primates; Cercopithecidae
Source: Ensembl